RNAcentral lists this ribosomal RNA (254 nucleotides) under uncultured bacterium. RNAcentral describes it as "partial 16S ribosomal RNA". It matches the Rfam family "Bacterial small subunit ribosomal RNA", at positions 524 to 776 of the family's 1533-position model. The record is from RNAcentral.
CACGUAGGGUGCAAGCGUUGUCCGGAAUUAUUGGGCGUAAAGGGCUAGUAGGCGGCUUGGCAAGUCGAGCGUGAAAACUCCAGGCUCAACCUGGAGCUGCCGUUUGAUACUGCCAUGGCUAGAGUCCGGUAGGGGACCACGGAAUUCCUGGUGUAGCGGUGAAAUGCGCAGAUAUCAGGAGGAACACCGGUGGCGAAGGCGCUCAUCUGGCCCAAUACUGACGCUGAGGCGCGAAAGCUAGGGGAGCAAACGGG